GGUAGCACGAUGUUUUCUCGAAAAAUUGUUGUAAAAUAUGUUCGAAACUUUUGCGAAUAUAAGAAUCAAUAUAACUUUUGGUGAUUUUUUGUAAUCCCAGCAUGUUCGUCUGGCCACUCUAGUUAUUCAAUCUGAAUGUUUGCAUGAAUUACACACACCAGUAGGCAGUGGGACAAUACCAUUGGGACACAUAAAGGUUACUGUAACUGUACUACAUCGUUAUAUUAAACUGCAAGUAACUCAGUUUUUGGUCUUUUAUCGUUUGUUUAAAAUUUUAUUGGAACGAUAAUCUUGCGCUAACUCUACUCAUGACAUUCAAACGUCAACACAAUUUCAAUUUCAAUUUGAGAGACAUACUAAUAUAUGCGACGGUCAUGUUCAUUUAUAUUGAGCAGGCCAUUACAAAAAGCCUUGAUGAAGUGGGUAUCAUUAAAAACCAUGCAAAUGAGUCAAUAACAUCGCAAGCAGAACAUCGUCGAAUGUGGCGAAACAUGUGGACAACUGGAAUCUUUGCCAUUUUUUUUGCUGUUCUUUCUUUACUAUUCCUGAUAAAAUUUUGGCAAGAGACUCAAAGAACAAAGCGAAUUAUUCACAGUUUUGCUGACAUUUAGAAGGUCAUUAAGUGUUGAUAGUUCUAUGGGAAGAUUGUACACAAUUCACACAUUUUUCUUUGCUGAAUAUUUGUUAUGGAAAUGAAGGAGUUGCUCAUUUCCUUGUCGAUGGUUUAAGUUAAGAAAUUAUGAUUUAGUCAUUGCUUGAAUUGUGCUAAACUGUUCAAGCAGAAGAUGGUGAAUCUGUGAGAAGAAUACAUAUGUACACACUUUUAUAUGAAUUGCUAAAAGGUAGAAAUGGCUAUUAUUAUGGAUGUCUUCCACCUAGCUAUUACUAAUUAGGGCACUUCAGGACUCAGAUGCACUAUACAAUAUUGCUUAUAACUUGUAAUUUAUGUUCAUUAAGUUGUGAAAUGUUAGCCUCUUCACAGUA
Long non-coding RNA from Xenia sp. Carnegie-2017, 984 nucleotides. RefSeq lists it as uncharacterized. The record is from RefSeq and is a predicted model, not a curated record. The transcript is spliced from 3 exons. Lineage: Eukaryota; Metazoa; Cnidaria; Anthozoa; Malacalcyonacea; Xeniidae.